Molecule: non-coding RNA, 1195 nt
Organism: Nicotiana tabacum (common tobacco)
Lineage: Eukaryota; Viridiplantae; Streptophyta; Magnoliopsida; Solanales; Solanaceae
Source: RefSeq, a predicted model, not a curated record
GGGCGGAAACGUGUCUACCAUUUGUAUUACGUGGGACAUCUGGCAUGCACUUCUCUUUUAUUUCCCAUUCUCCUCCUUCCUUCUUACCCUAUUGUUUUUGUUUCUUUCCCUUCCUCUCACUUACAUCUUUAAUCUUUUGUUAGUACUUUUCUCUCUGGAAAAGAGUUGCUACAAGCUGCUUUCCAGAAGAGCGCACCUCCAAGAUUCAAGAUAACUCUGGUGAGCAUUGGUUGGGUUUUCACGAUCUGGCUUUAUUGCUAUUGUUAAUGAACUUCUGCAUAGGGUGGUAAUAGCAUAAAGAGAAGCUUAGCUAAUAUAGCUGGUGAUUAUAUGAGAUAUGACCAUUCAGAGUCUGUUCUACGAUAAAGAGUUUAUUUAUCGGCUGAAGCUGGGUAGCCUUUUCCUAUUAACUUUUGUGUUGCUAAUUUUAUAUUGCUUGAGUCAUAUCAAAAAGAUCUCUCAAUAUCAGGCUAAGAAUUGCUAGGUGUUUCACAAGACGACAACAUUCAUUGAGGCUCCACUGUUCUUGCCUUAUCUAGAAACUGAAAUACCGUCUUUAAGAGUCAUUCCAGAAGCAAAAUUGGACGAUGCAGAAUGGAUACGCGUCAGGCAAGAACAACUCAUGCUCAUUGACGAGAAAAGAAUGGGUGCAGUAUGUCAUGGACAGCUAUACCAGAACAAGAUGGCUAGUGCAUUUAACAAAAGAGCGAAGUCUCGCCAAUUCACGCCAAGGUAGUUGGUUCUGAAGAAUUUUUUUUCCCAUCAAGAAGAAGCUAAAGGGAAGUUCGCACCGAACUGGCAAGGUCCUUAUGUGGUCCACAGAGCACUGUCUGGUGGAGCUCUAAUCUUAGCAGAAAUGGACAGAAGAGUCAACACGAAGCCAAUCAACUCGUACGCAAUCAAGAGAUAUUACGCCUGAAGACAGAUAGGGUUAGGAUUUUGAUGUAUUAGAACUACAUUCAACCUGACUUCCCACGGAGGGAUACAUAGGCAACCCGCGUAGGGUUCAGUUUCUCUCUCCCCUUUCUCUUGUAAUAGAAAAACCAAAUGUCAUUUUGUAUGUUGUUCAGGAACUACGCCGACUUGAUUUCCUCAUAGAGGAAUACAUAGGCAAUCCUCAACGGAUUCAGUCGUCUUUUGUAAUUAAAAUACGUUCUGGCCUGAUUCCACUUGGAUAUGUAGGCUGUCCGAGUCA